Molecule: ribosomal RNA, 661 nt
Filed under: uncultured Lactococcus sp.
Lineage: Bacteria; Bacillati; Bacillota; Bacilli; Lactobacillales; Streptococcaceae
Description: bacterial SSU rRNA
Rfam family: Bacterial small subunit ribosomal RNA
Source: RNAcentral
ACGAACGCUGGCGGCGUGCCUAAUACAUGCAAGUUGAGCGCUGAAGGUUGGUACUUGUACCAACUGGAUGAGCAGCGAACGGGUGAGUAACGCGUGGGGAAUCUGCCUUUGAGCGGGGGACAACAUUUGGAAACGAAUGCUAAUACCGCAUAAAAACUUUAAACACAAGUUUUAAGUUUGAAAGAUGCAAUUGCAUCACUCAAAGAUGAUCCCGCGUUGUAUUAGCUAGUUGGUGAGGUAAAGGCUCACCAAGGCGAUGAUACAUAGCCGACCUGAGAGGGUGAUCGGCCACAUUGGGACUGAGACACGGCCCAAACUCCUACGGGAGGCAGCAGUAGGGAAUCUUCGGCAAUGGACGAAAGUCUGACCGAGCAACGCCGCGUGAGUGAAGAAGGUUUUCGGAUCGUAAAACUCUGUUGGUAGAGAAGAACGUUGGUGAGAGUGGAAAGCUCAUCAAGUGACGGUAACUACCCAGAAAGGGACGGCUAACUACGUGCCAGCAGCCGCGGUAAUACGUAGGUCCCGAGCGUUGUCCGGAUUUAUUGGGCGUAAAGCGAGCGCAGGUGGUUUAUUAAGUCUGGUGUAAAAGGCAGUGGCUCAACCAUUGUAUGCAUUGGAAACUGGUAGACUUGAGUGCAGGAGAGGAGAGUGGAAUUCCAUG